Ornithorhynchus anatinus (platypus) is the source of this 1605-nucleotide long non-coding RNA. RefSeq lists it as uncharacterized. The record is from RefSeq and is a predicted model, not a curated record. The transcript is spliced from 3 exons. Lineage: Eukaryota; Metazoa; Chordata; Mammalia; Monotremata; Ornithorhynchidae.
UCUAGAGGGCAAGCUGGACUAUUCAAACUCCAUAAGGACAGAGCGCUCGCCUAUGAAUGGAUGUGCGCUCGCCUGUGAAUGGAUGUCUUAUUGUGGCAGGGGAGUUGGCCUAUGCGGAUGAAGCUUGGAGCUAGGCCAUAAAGUCUACCCGUAUGGAAAGGUCUAAGCUGAAGCAUCAAAGUCGAGUCACCUGUGCUGGGCAGCGGCGGCGUGGGAAAGAGUAAAAGGCGGAUGAUCAACCAGUCAAAGACAAGUUUUACGGCACGGAAGAAAGGCAAUGGUAAACUAUUUUCGUAUCUUCUACCGAGACGACUCUACGGAUGCACACAUCAGAAAGAUUUGAUGACAGAAGAUGGGACAGUCUGAAGAGGGUGUGUCCUUGGAGUUGCUAUGGGUCAGAAAUGAGUCGGCGGCAUUUGUGAAGAAGGGAAGAACAAACCCACUCCUGCAUGCUCUGACCACGGUAAUCUUCCCCAAUCCUUUCUGCUGCCUCCAGUUCCCUCCCUGCUGCCUUCAGGUUCAGGAGAGUGCUGGUGGAACUAUUUUUGGAUCUAAUCGACAGAUCCCCCAUUUGGUGACCCUCACUGGGGAGGGAGGGAAUUUCCCGGCCAGAUGGUGUUAACCAAUUAACCAGUAUUAUUCACUAACCCACUUCAGCCCGUUUUCCUCUGUGAAUUGCAAACCAACAUGCCGCUGGCAGCGUCCUGGAAGCCCGGCACUUCUACUACCCGUUCUCUGCACGACCAUUCCUUCCGGAAUGGAUCCUUCCGAACUGGGCUGCUACCACCAGACUUUACCCCCGACGGCAUUUUGACCGAGAUGUUUGCCCCUGCUUCCCGCCCCGACAACGGAUUGCAGUUUGCGGCCUGAUGCCUGCGAGGUUUCCCUGCUGUCACUGGACAUUCCAGGGCCAAGCCAGAGGUUCCUCUUGCUCCAUCUCUGGAGUCUUGUGUGGACAAGCUGUAUAGCUGUCUCCCCCAGUGCUGCUCUGGCAACCUGGAGGAUGGUCCAGGGAUGAGACAAGUGACAAGAUUCCUGCACUGAAGUAAUGGCUGGGUAAACCUUGUGGAACCAGUCCUUAUAGGUCUUGUAUUGAGGCCGAGCCCACAGCCACUGCCCACUGCUUCUUUUGCCCAAGUUUAGUGACGUCGAUUCAACCAAGUAGCCAAAAUGGCAGCAGUGACGGCAGUGGUGGAGGUUGAAGUGCAGUGAGGUUGGAAAGGCCCGUGAGAAAGCUGUGAUGACGUUUACAUGUAAAUAGGUAGAUAGAGACAGGUCUCAGCGACUCAGAGAACAUCAGGAUGGUCCUCUGAUCUUCAAACCAAGAGAACGGGAUAAAUCCUCCGUCCAAGGAAGAAGCGAGAAGGAACCAGCUAACAGCGCUUUGUAGUUACUGGGCAACGAAGCACUCAGGAGAAAAAGUUAAUCUGCACUACAGGAGAGAAGAAUCGGGCAAUUUGGAAGAACAUUUCAUCAUCAGUCUGACGAGAUGGGCUGCCACGGUGACAGGCUCACGUUCUCUGCACGAGAGAGGUAGGCACUUCGUUUAGUGGGGGCUUUUUUAUUCCCUCUCAAAAACGGCGUAAUUUAACAGUGAUUAAACGC